GACGAACGCUGGCGGCGUGCUUAACACAUGCAAGUCGAACGGAAAGGCCCUGCUUUUGUGGGGUGCUCGAGUGGCGAACGGGUGAGUAACACGUGAGUAACCUGCCCUUAACUUUGGGAUAACUUCAGGAAACUGGGGCUAAUACCGGAUAGGAGCUCCUGCUGCAUGGUGGGGGUUGGAAAGUUUCGGCGGUUGGGGAUGGACUCGCGGCUUAUCAGCUUGUUGGUGGGGUAGUGGCUUACCAAGGCUUUGACGGGUAGCCGGCCUGAGAGGGGGACCGGCCACAUUGGGACUGAGAUACGGCCCAGACUCCUACGGGAGGCAGCAGUGGGGAAUAUUGCACAAUGGGCGGAAGCCUGAUGCAGCAACGCCGCGUGCGGGAUGACGGCCUUCGGGUUGUAAACCGCUUUCGCCUGUGACGAAGCGUGAGUGACGGUAAUGGGUAAAGAAGCACCGGCUAACUACGUG
RNAcentral lists this ribosomal RNA (468 nucleotides) under uncultured bacterium. RNAcentral's name for it is "partial 16S ribosomal RNA". It matches the Rfam family "Bacterial small subunit ribosomal RNA", at positions 28 to 507 of the family's 1533-position model. The record is from RNAcentral.